CUGGGACAACAGCUGGGACUCGACCGGACCAGUGGAAACCUGAGAGGACAACACCAAGAGGGGGAGACUCAGAUGGGGUCAGCAGAUUACUCUGACUUUCUAUAUUACCAAGGAAACCAGGGGACACAGUCAGAAAAAAGAAGGAAGGUCAGCGAUAGUCUGUUUUCAACGCUCUGUCAGAGAGGCGCUGCUGUCGGCCUUACCCAGCUUGGCCAGUGAGGCCAGCAUUAUCCACAGCACAAUCUCAAAGGGAGCCUGCACGUGGUGGUAGUCCAAGCUGAACACCCUCAGAGCACCGGGCA
Xiphophorus hellerii (green swordtail) is the source of this 302-nucleotide long non-coding RNA. RefSeq lists it as uncharacterized. The record is from RefSeq and is a predicted model, not a curated record. The transcript has 3 exons. NCBI's taxonomy places the organism in Eukaryota, Metazoa, Chordata, Actinopteri, Cyprinodontiformes, Poeciliidae.